This 468-nucleotide ribosomal RNA is filed under the name uncultured delta proteobacterium. RNAcentral's name for it is "bacterial SSU rRNA". It matches the Rfam family "Bacterial small subunit ribosomal RNA", at positions 224 to 725 of the family's 1533-position model. The record is from RNAcentral. Lineage: Bacteria; Deltaproteobacteria.
GAUGAGUCUGCGCCCGAUUAGCUAGUUGGUGAGGUAAGAGCUCACCAAGGCGACGAUCGGUAGCUGGUCUGAAGGACGGCCAGCCACACUGGACUGAGACACGGCCCAGGCUCCUACGGGAGGCAGCAGUAGGGAAUAUUGCACAAUGGAGGAAACUCUGAUGCAGCGACGCCGCGUGAGUGACGAAGGCCUUCGGGUUGUAAAGCUCUGUUCUCAGGGAUUGUACCUGAGGAGAAAGGACCGCUAACUUCGUGCCAGCAGCCGCGGUAAGACGAGGUCCAAGCGUUGUUCGGAAUUAUUGGGCGUAAGCGGGUGUAGUGGAUCUAUAAGUCAGAAGUGAAGCCCCGAGCUUAACUUGGGAAGGCUUUUGAUACUGCAGUCUUGAAUGUGGGAGAGGACGUGGAAUCCAGGUGUAGUGUGAAAUACGUAGAUAUCGGAAGGAACACCAGUGGAUCACAGUGAAUUCGC